AUAUCACUAAGCGGAGGAAAAGAAAUUAACUAAGAUUGCCUCAGUAACGGCGAGUGAAGCGGCAAGGGCCCAAAUUGUAAAUCUUCACACUGCGUGUGACGAAUUGUAAUCUAAAGAUGGUUCGCUCACCGGGCGGUGGCGCAGAAGUGACCUAGAAUGGUCUACCAGAGAGGGUGACAGUCCCGUAUGUGGUGCCACUGCUCAACGAGUGCUUACCAAAGAGUCGGGUUGUUUUGAAUUGCAGCCCUAAGUGGGGGAUAGACUUCCUCUAAGGCUAAAUACUUAUGGGAGACCGAUAGCGCACAAGUA
This 309-nucleotide ribosomal RNA is filed under the name uncultured eukaryote. RNAcentral's name for it is "partial large subunit ribosomal RNA". It matches the Rfam family "Eukaryotic large subunit ribosomal RNA", at positions 40 to 350 of the family's 3401-position model. The record is from RNAcentral.